UACGUAGGGGGCAAGCGUUGUCCGGAUUUAUUGGGCGUAAAAGGCUUGUAGGUGGCCACGCCAAGUCGGAUGUGAAAUCUCCCGGCUCAACUGGGAGGGGUCAUUCGAUACUGGCGGGCUCGAGGCCGGUAGGGGGAAGUGGAAUUCCCGGUGUAGUGGUGAAAUGCGUAGAUAUCGGGAGGAACACCAGUGGCGAAGGCGACUACCUGGCCUGUUCUUGACGCUGAGGCGCGAAAGCUAGGGGAGCAAACGGG
Molecule: ribosomal RNA, 254 nt
Filed under: uncultured bacterium
Lineage: Bacteria
Description: partial 16S ribosomal RNA
Rfam family: Bacterial small subunit ribosomal RNA
Source: RNAcentral